Molecule: ribosomal RNA, 243 nt
Filed under: uncultured bacterium
Lineage: Bacteria
Description: partial 16S ribosomal RNA
Rfam family: Bacterial small subunit ribosomal RNA
Source: RNAcentral
AACGACGUGGUACGUACGCUCCACACUGGGGGAUAACACUUAGAAAUAGGUGCUAAUACCGCAUAAGCGCACGGGACUGCAUGGUCUUGUGUGAAAAACUCCGGUGGUGUGAGAUGGACCCGCGUCUGAUUAGCUGGUUGGCGGGGUAACGGCCCACCAAGGCGACGAUCAGUAGCCGGCCUGAGAGGGUGGACGGCCACAUUGGGACUGAGACACGGCCCAAACUCCUACGGAAGGCAGCAG